RNAcentral lists this ribosomal RNA (253 nucleotides) under uncultured bacterium. Its description in RNAcentral is "partial 16S ribosomal RNA". It matches the Rfam family "Bacterial small subunit ribosomal RNA", at positions 524 to 776 of the family's 1533-position model. The record is from RNAcentral.
AACGUAGGUGACGAGCGUUAUCCGGAUUUACUGGGCGUAAAGCGCGUUCAGGCGGUUUGGCAAGUCGGGCAUGAAAUCUCUCGGCCUAACCGGGAGAGGCUGUCCGAUACUGCCGAGCUUGAGGGCGGUAAAAGGUGGCGGAAUUCCGCAUGUAGUGGUGAAAUGCGUAGAUAUGCGGAGGAACACCAGUGGCGAAGGCGGCCACCUAGGCCGACCCUGACGCUGAAGCGCGAAAGCUAGGGUAGCGAACGGG